Molecule: long non-coding RNA, 776 nt
Filed under: Elaeis guineensis (African oil palm)
Lineage: Eukaryota; Viridiplantae; Streptophyta; Magnoliopsida; Arecales; Arecaceae
Description: long non-coding RNA (EGUI_LNC011176)
Source: RNAcentral
GUUAAGGGAAGUAGAUUUGUGUUCAGCGCAUCAGAACAAGGCAAUAUAUAUAUGAAAUUAGUUCCUGGCAGGUUGGGCUUUAUAUCCAAAACUUGUUCAUGGCAGAUUGGCUGUCCAGACUGAGCACCUUCCAUGAUUGAAAGAAAUUAGAUUAGAAGUUUUUGACUUGUAUAGGAAUUUUACACGAAAAUUCAAAUGAUGCUUGUUAAAGGAAGUAGAUUUGAGUGUGGAGGAUCAGAGCAAGGCACUAUAUAUCUGAAACUAGUUUCUAGCAGAUUGGACUAUAUAUCAGAAACUAGUUUGAAGCAGAUUGGAGGGGGAAGGAGAAUCACUCAUGAGGUCCAGGAGGCCAUGGGUUCUGGCUGGUGGUGCACAGAGUUUUCCCAGUGGCAGGGGAGCACAUCCAUGCAUGACCACUUUGUACUCUCCAUGUUAUACCACAUUAAAAUAACAUCCAGCAACCUCUUAUUUAUUCUUGAACACGAAAAGAUUGUUAGGCUCAGCCAAGGACCGCUAGCACCAUUUCUUGAUUUAUCUUGAAAAAACAUAAACAAGCAAAACUGUUCUCCCUCAAUUUCUUGGCAACCUUGUCCUAAAACAAGCGCUUCCUGGUUCUUCAUAUGUUUAUAUACUUCAUUGUGCAUGAAGCAUGAUAUCAGUAUGUUAGAUUAGUUAGUUGUUACUUGAAACUCAUUCUAUUCUACCUUUCCUGAACCCAGUCUUGCAUCUUCUUGAUUACUGGUCAACCCCAGAUUCUCCAUUGGCUGUCCAACACC